Molecule: ribosomal RNA, 292 nt
Filed under: uncultured eukaryote
Lineage: Eukaryota
Description: partial 18S ribosomal RNA
Rfam family: Eukaryotic small subunit ribosomal RNA
Source: RNAcentral
GGUUGAUCCUGCCAGUAGUCAUAUGCUUGUCUCAAAGAUUAAGCCAUGCAUGUCUAAGUAUAAACAACUUUGUACCGUGAAACUGCGAAUGGCUCAUUAAAUCAGUUAUAGUUUAUUUGAUAGUACCUUACUACUUGGAUAACCGUGGUAAUUCUAGAGCUAAUACAUGCUACAAGGCGCGCGUUUGCGGGCUGUAUUUAUUAGAUACAAAACCAAACCGGGGCGACUCGGAGUGGGUGAUUCAUGAUAACUUUUCGAAUCGUGGGGCCUUUGCGCCGACGAUGGUUCAUUC